This 466-nucleotide ribosomal RNA is filed under the name uncultured bacterium. RNAcentral describes it as "bacterial SSU rRNA". It matches the Rfam family "Bacterial small subunit ribosomal RNA", at positions 20 to 507 of the family's 1533-position model. The record is from RNAcentral.
UGGCUCAGAACGAACGCUGGCGGCAUGCUUAACACAUGCAAGUCGAACGAGACCUUCGGGUCUAGUGGCGCACGGGUGCGUAACGCGUGGGAAUCUGCCCUUUGCUACGGAAUAACUCAGAGAAAUUUGUGCUAAUACCGUAUAAUGUCGCAAGACCAAAGAUUUAUUGGUAAGAGAUUAGCCUGUAUUGUAUCAGUUAGUUGGUGGGGUAAUGGCUUACCAAGACUAUGACACAUAACUGGUUUGAGAGGAUGAUCAGUCACACUGGAACUGAGACACGGUCCAGACUCCUACGGGAGGCAGCAGUGGGGAAUUUUGGACAAUGGGCGCAAGCCUGAUCCAGCAAUGCCGCGUGCAGGAAGAAGGCCUUCGGGUUGUAAACUGCUUUUGUACGGAACGAAAAGGUCUGGGUUAAUACCCUGGGCUCAUGACGGUACCGUAAGAAUAAGCACCGGCUAACUACGUG